AUCCUCUCCCCUCACUCUCUUUCUUUCCUUAACUCUCUUUCUCUCCUCUCCACUCCUCCUAGGGCGGCGGUGGCAGGAGCUGGCAGCGGCGACGGCUAGGGUUUCUUUUUUUGAAUUCUUUUUGGAAUUUUUUUUUCGCGAUUUAGUGGGUGGCCGGCAUCGAUGGUGUGGCCAGUGGCCGGCGUCGUCCGCGUCGUCUGUGGUGGUGGCGGCGGCGAAAAUGGUGGGGGCGAGGACGGAGCGAGAGAGGAAGGGCGGCGAGAUGGCGGGGGCGAGGUCGCGAGGAGCCGACUAGCCGAGGACAGCGGCCAGUAGUGGUGCGCUCGACCCCUGGAUGCGCCGCUCCGCCGCCGCCUCUCUCUCUCUCUCUCUCCUCUCUAAGGUUAGCCAGUUAGGGACUUGGGUUGGGCUGGGAACUUGGGGAGGAAUUAUGGACUAUUUGGAUGGAUCUUUUUAAUUUCAGAAAUUCCGACAAACUUUCCGG
RNAcentral lists this small RNA (484 nucleotides) under Oryza sativa Japonica Group (Japanese rice). RNAcentral's name for it is "sRNA Os01g0888200". Lineage: Eukaryota; Viridiplantae; Streptophyta; Magnoliopsida; Poales; Poaceae. The record is from RNAcentral.